This 262-nucleotide long non-coding RNA is filed under the name Elaeis guineensis (African oil palm). RNAcentral describes it as "long non-coding RNA (EGUI_LNC046904)". Lineage: Eukaryota; Viridiplantae; Streptophyta; Magnoliopsida; Arecales; Arecaceae. The record is from RNAcentral.
CCCCAUCCUCCAAAAAAAGGGAAAGUCAAAGGUAUGAGUGGACAAAGAUGUCAGCAUUUAUUCGAAUGUAAUCCAACAAAAAUAUAAUUAGUGUUUGGGUAUAAAACUAUAGUCUUUAAGAAUCUUAAUCCAAUAAUUUUUCAUGAAAGGUAUGGACCAUGCCUUUUCAUUGGUCUGGUCAUCCUAUGAUCUAGUCCUAUAAUGAAACUACUUGCAAGACAAGACACCAGUAGAAGUGAGAAUGUGACAUAGACAUCUUAGC